CGUUCUUAAUCCUAUCUAGUCUGGUGUGCCCGCACAUCCACCUAAGCAUCCUCAUCUCCGCAACCUUCAUUCUUUGAACAUGGGAGUUUUUCAAUGGCCAGCACUCCGUCCCAUACAGCAUAGCAGGUCUAACCACGGCUCUAUAGAAUUUCCCCUUAAGUUUGUGUGGAACUUUCUUGUCACACAGGACCCCUGAGGCGAGCCUCCAUUUUGCCCACCCGACUCCUAUACGAUGGGUGACGUCCCCGUCAAUCUCUCCGUCCCCCUGAAUCACAGACCCAAGAN
RNAcentral lists this long non-coding RNA (285 nucleotides) under Nicotiana benthamiana. Its description in RNAcentral is "long non-coding RNA (NBEN_LNC025698)". The record is from RNAcentral. Lineage: Eukaryota; Viridiplantae; Streptophyta; Magnoliopsida; Solanales; Solanaceae.